Molecule: small RNA, 718 nt
Filed under: Pan troglodytes (chimpanzee)
Lineage: Eukaryota; Metazoa; Chordata; Mammalia; Primates; Hominidae
Description: processed transcript
Source: RNAcentral
AAGGCCUCCUUCCUUAGGCAGGUGUAAAUAAAUUAAACAUUUCUUCUACCGUAAAUAAAAAGAAGGCAGAACAAUCGAAACUGGGGAGACUUGGAAAACGCUGAGGCCAAACUUUCCAUAUUGAUUUAUUGGGGCCGGGAGAAUGAAAGGUUGGGAAGAUUCUGGGGCCUUUUGACAUCCUUGGUUCUUUAUUACUCCGGACUUGAUUCCUUCUCACUUUUUUCUGCCAUUCCACUGAAGAGCUGAGAGCCCAGGGAAGUCGGAUCUGAAGCUGGAAUGUGAGAAACUCGCCAGUGAGAAGACAGAGAUGCAGCGGCAUUAUGUCAUGUAUUAUGAAAUGUCCUAUGGGUUGAAUAUAGAAAUGCACAAGCAGGCAGAGAUUGUCAAGAGGCUGAAUGCUAUCUGUGCACAAGUCAUUCCUUUCCUGUCCCAAGAGCACCAGCAACAAGUGGUGCAGGCUGUGGAACGGGCCAAGCAGGUGACCAUGGCAGAACUGAACGCCAUCAUUGGGCAACAACUCCAGGCCCAGCAUUUAUCACAUGGACAUGGUCUCCCCGUACCUCUGACUCCACACCCUUCAGGGCUCCAGCCCCCUGCCAUUCCACCGAUCGGUAGCAGUGCCGGGCUUCUGGCCCUCUCCAGUGCUCUAGGAGGUCAGUCCCAUCUUCCAAUUAAAGAUGAGAAGAAGCACCAUGACAAUGAUCACCAAAGAGGUGAG